This 69-nucleotide transfer RNA is filed under the name Ovis aries (sheep). It matches the Rfam family "tRNA". From Rfam's summary of the family: Transfer RNA (tRNA) molecules are approximately 80 nucleotides in length. Their secondary structure includes four short double-helical elements and three loops (D, anti-codon, and T loops). RNAcentral also lists the same sequence under 1 other name. The record is from Rfam by way of RNAcentral. Lineage: Eukaryota; Metazoa; Chordata; Mammalia; Artiodactyla; Bovidae.
CCUGAUAGCUCAGUUGGUAAAGAAUCUGCCUGCAAUGCAGGAGACCCUGAUUUGAUUUCUGGGUCAGGA